RNAcentral lists this ribosomal RNA (550 nucleotides) under uncultured bacterium. Its description in RNAcentral is "bacterial SSU rRNA". It matches the Rfam family "Bacterial small subunit ribosomal RNA", at positions 355 to 896 of the family's 1533-position model. The record is from RNAcentral.
UAGGGAAUCUUUGGCAAUGGACGGAAGUCUGACCGAGCAACGCCGCGUGAGUGAAGAAGGUUUUCGGAUCGUAAAGCUCUGUUGUAAGAGAAGAACGAGUGUGAGAGUGGAAAGUUCACACUGUGACGGUAUCUUACCAGAAAGGGACGGCUAACUACGUGCCAGCAGCCGCGGUAAUACGUAGGUCCCGAGCGUUGUCCGGAUUUAUUGGGCGUAAAGCGAGCGCAGGCGGUUAGAUAAGUCUGAAGUUAAAGGCUGUGGCUUAACCAUAGUAGGCUUUGGAAACUGUUUAACUUGAGUGCAAGAGGGGAGAGUGGAAUUCCAUGUGUAGCGGUGAAAUGCGUAGAUAUAUGGAGGAACACCGGUGGCGAAAGCGGCUCUCUGGCUUGUAACUGACGCUGAGGCUCGAAAGCGUGGGGAGCAAACAGGAUUAGAUACCCUGGUAGUCCACGCUGUAAACGAUGAGUGCUAGGUGUUAGACCCUUUCCGGGGUUUAGUGCCGUAGCUAACGCAUUAAGCACUCCGCCUGGGGAGUACGACCGCAAGGUUG